GACGAACGCUGGCGGCGCGCCUAACACAUGCAAGUCGAACGAGCGAGAGAGAGCUUGCUUUCUCGAGCGAGUGGCGAACGGGUGAGUAACGCGUGAGGAACCUGCCUCAAAGAGGGGGACAACAGUUGGAAACGACUGCUAAUACCGCAUAAGCCCACGGUGCCGCAUGGCACAGAGGGAAAAGGAGCAAUCCGCUUUGAGAUGGCCUCGCGUCCGAUUAGCUAGUUGGUGAGGUAACGGCCCACCAAGGCGACGAUCGGUAGCCGGACUGAGAGGUUGAACGGCCACAUUGGGACUGAGACACGGCCCAGACUCCUACGGGAGGCAGCAGUGGGGAAUAUUGCACAAUGGGGGAAACCCUGAUGCAGCGACGCCGCGUGGAGGAAGAAGGUCUUCGGAUUGUAAACUCCUGUUGUUGGGGAAGAUAAUGACGGUAC
RNAcentral lists this ribosomal RNA (437 nucleotides) under uncultured bacterium. RNAcentral's name for it is "bacterial SSU rRNA". It matches the Rfam family "Bacterial small subunit ribosomal RNA", at positions 28 to 478 of the family's 1533-position model. The record is from RNAcentral.